This 1923-nucleotide long non-coding RNA is filed under the name Sus scrofa (pig). Its description in RNAcentral is "lncRNA (ENSSSCG00045005058.1)". The record is from RNAcentral. Lineage: Eukaryota; Metazoa; Chordata; Mammalia; Artiodactyla; Suidae.
UUGGGCCACUCCUGUGGCAUGUGGAGGUUCCCAGGCUAGGGGUCUAAUCGGAGUUGAAAAAAAAUAAAUGAGAAAACAUGAAAUGCCAACCUGAGUAAAAGACGGUCAGAAAUGGUCAUUUAGUCCUCUUAACUGAAUGGUGAGCGACCACUGGAAUUGAUUUGUAAUCUUUGAUGUAAUUAUUUAUGCAUUAAUUCCAUCCUAGACUUUUAAGGGAGCUAAUGGCAAACAUUUUACAUUCCUGUAAUAAUCAAAUGAUUUUAUUUCACGCACUUAUGCAUAAAUGUGUUGCAUUUAUUUACCUGAAAUAACACAACUGACUUUUAUUUCACUAUUUUAAAAUAUUUCCAGUUCUGACAGAUUUGGCCUUUCUUUCCCAAUGUCAACUUUAGAAAAGUUAAAAACCAAUUCAGUUGCUAACUGGAGAGCAGGUUUUGGAAAAGUUUAGACACUUAGUUCUUCAAAAAAUAUUUAAGGCUCAGUAAUAGGGAAACUUGAUUUUCUUUCGAUUUGAAAUAACUAUUGCCAAAGAAAAGAACUGUUCACAAGAUUUUGAGCAUUUUUUCCCUAUAGUUAGUUUUACUGUAUUGUUAUUAUACUUGCUUGAAAACUUGAUAACUUGUUCAAAUUUCAGAAUCUCAUCACUAUUUUCAUUCUGGGACUGAAGUGCAUUUCCAUCAGCAAAUAAAAAAACUUUGACGAAAGGUUUGUCACCUUUGAGCAUGAUUCACUGUCAUCUUCUCUCUAAAAUCUACAAAAACUCAACAUGAAAGACAUCAUCCUUCUAGGAGAUAACAUAAUUCAUACUCGCAAUGAUUCACCUGUACUGUAUUUGAAACCUGUUUAUUUUUCUCUAUCCUAGAUAAAAAUUAUUAGGUUGGUAGGAUCCUUUGUGAUCUCUAAUACUAUUAAUUUAAGCUGGUUUUUGCAUAUGAAAUUUUUCUAUAUUUUUCCAAAGUUACAAAUAACUAAGACUUCUCAAGAGACAAGAUGCCGUUACAAUUACAAAGAUCAGUGUGUGAUAAGGACUAAAGAACAAUACAAAGAAAUUGAGAUUAUAAUUUUUUCCUCUCAAAUAUUUACCUAAUGUAAUUUAAAGACUUUAAUGCCUACUGCAGUGCUGAAUACACUCACUUGAUUAAACCUUGUUCAAUAAAUGAGUAAACUUAAAAAAUAAAUAAAUAAAUGCAAGAACAAUCCAUCCACUAAGUGAAUAAUAACAUGGUUUCCAGAAAAAAAAAAUUGAUUACUAUUGUACAAAUAAGUGGAUGUAAAUUAUUUACAGCGAUAAAAUCUUUGGCAAAAUUCAAUACAAACGAAAAUCUAUACAAACAAAUUUUUCUCACCACGUAGUCAUUAUGAGAUUAGAGAAUGUACAAAGGUUCAGGUGUUGGCUCAAAGACAGUAAAUGAAGGGUAGGAAUAAAAGGAAGACUUCUCAAGGGAUGAAGGUAAUAGCUCUUCCAAGUUAUUGCUAUAGAUCACAAAGAUGUGUGAGCUUUGAAAUCCACAAGUUUGUGGACAUCAGUGAACCUGGGAAAAUGCCCAGUUAAGGAAGAUAAAUGAAACAGGAUGAUUAAAUGGAAAUUUUCAGGUGAGGUUCCUAAAACAGACAUCAUGUUAUAAAGAGGAUACUUAACACAAGAUUUAUAAAGCAGAUGUCAGAAAUUCCUAUCGUGGCUCAGCGGAAAGGAAAUCUGACUAGCAUCCAUGAGGACGCAGGUUGGAUCCCUGGCCUCCCUCAGUGGGUUGAGGAUCCGGCAUUGCCGUGAGCUGUGGUGUAGGUUGCAAACAUGGCUCAGAUUUGCAUUGCUGCGGCUGUGGCGCAGGCCAGGAGCUACAGCUCCGACUGGAUCCCUGACCUGGGAACCUCCAUAUGCCAUGAGUGCAGCCCUAAAAAGCAAAAAAAGAAAAAAGAAAAAAA